RNAcentral lists this ribosomal RNA (435 nucleotides) under uncultured bacterium. Its description in RNAcentral is "partial 16S ribosomal RNA". It matches the Rfam family "Bacterial small subunit ribosomal RNA", at positions 29 to 507 of the family's 1533-position model. The record is from RNAcentral.
AACGAACGCUGGCGGUAUGCCUAACACAUGCAAGUCGAACGAUUGCCUUCGGGUGAUAGUGGCGCACGGGUGCGUAACGCGUGGGAAUCUGCCCUUAGGUUCGGAAUAACAGCUGGAAACGGCUGCUAAUACCGGAUGAUAUCGCGAGAUCAAAGAUUUAUCGCCUGAGGAUGAGCCCGCGUUGGAUUAGGUAGUUGGUGGGGUAAAGGCCUACCAAGCCGACGAUCCAUAGCUGGUCUGAGAGGAUGAUCAGCCACACUGGGACUGAGACACGGCCCAGACUCCUACGGGAGGCAGCAGUGGGGAAUAUUGGACAAUGGGCGCAAGCCUGAUCCAGCAAUGCCGCGUGAGUGAUGAAGGCCCUAGGGUUGUAAAGCUCUUUUACCCGGGAAGAUAAUGACUGUACCGGGAGAAUAAGCCCCGGCUAACUCCGUG